UUUUCGUUCAUUGUACUGCCUAUUAUUUUCCUUGAUAAAUAUCUUAUGGUGUUAUUGUCUAAGAAAAAUAUACCAGAAAAAGGAAAAACUUGCUCUGAGGCUGUUAUUGUCUUACCAUAGUAGGUGGUUAAACAUUAAGAAGAACAUCACCACACCACACACACAAGAGAAUUUACACAUGGAGCGUACACAAAGCACACACAUACACCCAUCACUCGCUAGCAUGCAGCGAGUAGACCGAGGCAAGAAAAGAAAGUUACAAGCACUAGUAGAUAAGUAGUACGAAGCUCAAGACAAACUACAUGCAGCCUCAGACAGCAACGUACGCUAUGCAGGAUUAGAUAACCAAAAGAGCAGCAAACAUGGCGGCGUCGCAGAACUUCCUGUCUUCAAUUCUCUGGCCGUCGGCUCUUAUUUAGCGGUGGUUGCUCCUGGUCCUGGUCUCGUCGCUGUAAAGCCUGAACAUCAAACGUACGUGGCAGCGUUAUUAUUUCCUGGUGUUAAAUAUUGCCAUGUUCGCCCGUUUCAAGUUCGCUAUACUGAUUUUAUAUGAUGAUGAUGAUAGAUCACGAGCUAGCGUACCAGUCGUAGACGGUGGGGGAGUUGGGCUGCGGGCGGUCGAAGAGGUUGGCGCCGAGGCUUUUGGUGGCCAGGUUGCUCCCGGGGUGGAAAACGCUCCGCCACACGCUGCCGCCACGCGGCGGCGUCGACGACGACGGCGUCACCGGCGUGGUCGGGGUCGUCGGCAUCGACGGCGACUGCUUAAUCGCCUCCCCUGCAGCUGCACCUCCACCAACAUCCAUGUAAACCGCCAUCAGUUCACACAAUAAACCCAAUAGAUCCUCUGGUUAAGCAUCAAAUCUCCUUCUGAAAACCACUGGUGCUAGUUCUUACGUUCUUCUCAACAUUUUCAGGCCAUGUCGGUACCUCUGUGCUAACGUAUACGAACUGUACCUG
This 957-nucleotide long non-coding RNA is filed under the name Triticum aestivum (bread wheat). RNAcentral describes it as "long non-coding RNA (TAES_LNC004099)". Lineage: Eukaryota; Viridiplantae; Streptophyta; Magnoliopsida; Poales; Poaceae. The record is from RNAcentral.